Pelobates cultripes (western spadefoot toad) is the source of this 235-nucleotide non-coding RNA. The record is from the annotation of a GenBank genome assembly. NCBI's taxonomy places the organism in Eukaryota, Metazoa, Chordata, Amphibia, Anura, Pelobatidae.
CUUUUUAAAGGCACUGAAUACGUCUCUGUUCUGCUUUAAAAUGAGAUCUAUCUAGAUAUGUACUAAAUGGUCAGAGACAGGAAAAAAUAUAGUUUUGGUCCUUCCGAUUUCUAGCCCAGUUAACAAAGAGGCGCACACUGGGUAAUGCAGAAACAUUGACUCACAAGAAUUCCCUUAGUCAUUUAGGACACCCAGAGAAUACAGUGCAUAUAGAUGUGUGUGUUGUACAUUCAAU